CAUCUUACAGAUGGCAACCUCGUUAUUAUUGCCUGUGUAUUUCGGACUCGAUAUCGAAGUCACAUUGCCUUGGUCGUCAGUGAGAGCAGCCUAACUUCUAUACACUGUCUAUAGUUUCCAGAUGUGAUUCAGACCGGGCAAGGUUCCAAAUCCAUACUUGACUUAUAUAUCAGUACUGGAAAGCUACAAAAAACAAUGAAAAAUCGCCCUAUGAGGGCUCGGGAAGCAUGACUAACCACACGCGUGACCUGUGCUAUGAUAUUCUUGCUCUCGGGUUUUUUUGCCUUUUUUAAACGCUGUACAAGUGUUUGAAGACGUACCACAGCCGACCGUCUUCCAGGAAGGGACCUCGAUAAGAUGGAUGGACAAGCGUGGAUGAUGGGCGCAUUCAAACAUCAUGCUUUCUCAUUUCUAAGGUCACUGAACGGAGCCAUGUGGAUUAACAACUACUUGGAUGAGAACGAACCGCAGGCGAACAAAAAGUGCUGCGAGUUUUGCAACACUGAAGUGCCAGAUAACAUAGCGAGGCGGUUCGGCUGUCCGCAAUGCAAUGCUAGGUACUGCUCCAAGGAACACAAGAAAGCGGACUUUCGUUUUCAUAAGAUGAGAUGUAUGAACUUUAACCACAAUUCUCCAUUCCCAAACACAACCAACUCAUUCAUUGGCGAUCCUUAUUGUCAGUCAAGCACACUACAUUCAGCAUUACGGACAGACAAUGAUAAUUAUAUUCCUACAACGUUUCAAACCUACCAACAAACCCCCAGUGCAGAAUUUUCUGGUAAUCGUUCUAACACCAACCAACUCUCUCCAGUUCGGACCAAUCAGGACUCUGUAAGCCCACAUAGAGUGACAUUGCAGCCACCUCAAAUGCAGUAUGGUCAGUCUAAUCCUACCUCAAGUACUAGUCCUGGCUGUAGUGGAGAAGGAUUGUCGUAUAUGCAAAAUCCUUCACCUUAUCAAAACCCUAAUAACCAGUUUUUCUUGACAACUACAGAAAAGCUGCCUUCGAUACAAGCUACUCAGACACGACAAACUCAACCAGGUUUAGCUAGUUAUUUAAAUGUACCAAACACAUGUGCAAACACGCAAAUGGGAACUGUUCAAAUGCCGAGUUACUCAAAUGAUGAUGAUCAGAUUACCUUAGAAGAUGCUCUCUCUUUCCUGGAUGAACAAGAGGCUAGACAGUACCCUAGUCCACAACAACAGCAACAGCAACAACAACAAGUACAGACACAGCAGCUAUCGCCAUUACCAAGCAGCAAUGUUACUACCAGCCCAGUACCUCUGAUCUCCACAGGUGAAACACCAUCAGCUGAACAAUACCAGCAGCUUCUGUUGAUGGACUCUAAUAGCAGCAUUUCUAGUCAAAUGUUGCCCAUUCAAGGCGAUCAGGGCUCGAUGAAGCACAGUCAAACUCUGUCACCUACCACUUCGAAUACUAUUCCAAGCGAGCAACAGUCUCAACAAUCUCCUUUGUCUCCUGAAAACAACGAGGUCGGCAAAAAUGAUGAGAUGCCAGCACGAUUUUGUGAGCACUUUGGGCUGUUAAACGAAUCUUCUGAUGCUGGCCCUCCAUUGAAGGAAGAGGGGAUUUUCAGUAGGUACGACUUGAGAGAAGUAGCUCAAUACAUAGUCCAGAGUCUUUGUAAAAACAACUACUGUAUUGUGGACUUCUUGCACGGAGAACCAAUUGCAGCGAACAUACUGGAAGAAGUUAAAGAGUUUCAUCAAGAAAAUGCGUUUUCUGAAGGCCUUUUAUCGUCGUCAAAGGGAAACAAAGGCAGUGCUAAGAAGAACGUACGAGAAGACCUUGUAGCAUGGACUGAUGGUAAAGGAAAGAAGGCUAUAAAGAAACACAUGAGUCGUAUGGAUCUGUUACUGAAGUUUUGCAAUAAGUUCAUAAAGGAGUGUGAGGUUUCUUCCAGAACACAGGCAAUGGUGGCAUGCUACCCAGGAGGAGGGACUGGGUACAAGCAGCACAUCGAUAAUCCAAGUAAAGAUGGUCGCUGUGUAACAACACUCUAUUAUCUUAAUCCUGACUGGAACAUUAAGACUGAUGGAGGAAUCCUUAAGUUGUUUCCAAGUGGAACAGAUCGCAAAACAGUCAACGUAGAACCCUAUUUUGACCGUCUUUUGUUAUUUUGGUCGGACAGACGAACACCACAUGAAGUGACUCCUGCUUUUAAAGUCAGAUAUGCCAUAACACUAUGGUACUUCGACGAACAAGAACGAAAAGAAUAUAUUAAUCGUUACAAAGAGGGAAAAGUAUAAGACCUAAAGUACAACAGAUAUAUCACCAUGUAUCAUCAGCUAUGGUUAUGGUAUGGUAUGGAGUGGUCCAUAUCCAUGACAAGACCUACAGUACAACAGAUAUAUCACCAUGCAUCAUCAGCUAUGGUUAUGGUAUGGAGUGGUCCAUAUCCAUGACAAGACCUACAGUACAACAGAUAUAUCGCCAUGUAUCAUCAACUAUGGCCCAUAUACAUAUAAGCAGUUAAAGCGGACACAUUCAAUAUUUUUGCUGCCUUUGGCCGUUUAGAAAACUUAUUGCAAUCAUCACCGAUCACUAAAGAAGACUUGUCAAGUCAGGAAAGAAAGACAAAAUUGAAUAUAACGAGGAAGUCAAUAACAUCAACACCAAGCAGUAUUGUGAGGAUAUUUUGGUACAAGGUUUUUUCAUUUUUAAAGUUUCUAGGUCUAAAAAGAGAUAGUACAUUUUGUAGGAUCGAAAUAUUUAGUUACUUUGGUCCAAAUGCUGAUAAAUCAUCUCAAUAUCGAAUGAUUUCGGUCCAAGGUGCGUACUUCCCUUGAAAAAGGCUUCAUUGGAUGGCACAAAUAAAACAAUACUUAUUUACUAUGAAAUAUUACACACUUUGCUAUAUAUAUAUAGAAUAUGUACAGUGUAUUAAUAGAGAAAAUGAACUACCAUCUGAGAACAAUUUUAGUUAGUAAUAAGCUUACUAAUCUAAGAAACGUACUUGUGUCAGAUAUGUAAAAUUUCUAAAAAAAAAUUCCAGUCAGUAAUUAUAGUCAUUCAAGUAUUUAUUGCAAAAAGACCAUUAUGAAAUGAUUAAUCGCCUUUUCUUAAACAAUUAAAUGCUUGAAUAGACCGUUUGCAUGAUGGCAUUAUUUUACGCCACAACCAGGGACUAACGACUCGCGAGUGUUCUUUCAAAUUCACUAUUCAUUUAUCAGGCAAACUUUCCCCUAAAUAAAAUUGCCGUUCGCACGAUUAUCGACUCUAUAUCCAUAUUUGACAAACUUACCUUUAUUUGAAAGUGAACAUAGAUUCCUUUUCGGUGAUUUUUUGCCCUUUGACGCUUUAAAAUGUUGAAAAUAUAAAUCAAAACUUUCAGAUAUUGUAGUGAAGGAACACUUGAAAUUGUCCACCAUCUUGAAUUUAGCUUAGAAACCUGGCAUUUGACAAAGGAAGCCCAAAGAGUUUAGAACCACAAGGAUGCACCGCGCAUGCUCAUGACAAUAUUAUCCGUAUUUUACCGACUAUUUUUCCUCGCUUAACUUUUUUUCAACUAGAAUCGAUCCUUAUCUUCUUUCUGCAUGUCGUCAUUUGAACUUGUCGAGGUUGACAUGCCACUUGAAGUGUGAACAUUUGAUUGCUAACGGUAACCGGAUAACUAUAACAAACCUGGCAAUUUAAUUAGAUUAUUCCGACAAUAUACCAUUUACUUUUA
Unclassified non-coding RNA from Actinia tenebrosa (Australian red waratah sea anemone), 3692 nucleotides. The record is from RefSeq and is a predicted model, not a curated record. Lineage: Eukaryota; Metazoa; Cnidaria; Anthozoa; Actiniaria; Actiniidae.